RNAcentral lists this long non-coding RNA (244 nucleotides) under Schizosaccharomyces pombe (fission yeast). RNAcentral describes it as "non-coding RNA, poly(A)-bearing". The record is from RNAcentral. Lineage: Eukaryota; Fungi; Ascomycota; Schizosaccharomycetes; Schizosaccharomycetales; Schizosaccharomycetaceae.
CUAUAUUCAAGUUCUCACUUGUUUUAGAAAUAAACUUUUUCCGUUUAAUUCCCAACCGUUCUACAAGCUAAUGUUUACUUUAUGAUCAUUUUUCCAUUAUGCAAACCCAAUAAUAAAUCCCUCUAUCCUACUGUCUGUCUCUCUCUCUAUGCAUAUUUGAGUUUUAAACAAUCGAGUUGGUUCAUGGUAAAAAUGCUUUUAUUCAUUUCUCCUAGUAAUACAAAGUAUUAUUAAAAAAAAAGAA